RNAcentral lists this ribosomal RNA (485 nucleotides) under uncultured bacterium. Its description in RNAcentral is "partial 16S ribosomal RNA". It matches the Rfam family "Bacterial small subunit ribosomal RNA", at positions 28 to 523 of the family's 1533-position model. The record is from RNAcentral.
GACGAACGCUGGCGGCGUGCUUAACACAUGCAAGUCGAACGGUGAAAGCGGAGCUUGCUCCGCUGGAUCAGUGGCGAACGGGUGAGUAACACGUGGGCAACCUGCCCCUCACUUCGGGAUAACUCCGGGAAACCGGGGCUAAUACCGGAUAUGACCUCCUUGGGCAUCCUUGGAGGUGGAAAGUUUUUCGGUGAGGGAUGGGCCCGCGGCCUAUCAGCUUGUUGGUGAGGUAGUGGCUCACCAAGGCGACGACGGGUAGCCGGCCUGAGAGGGCGACCGGCCACACUGGGACUGAGACACGGCCCAGACUCCUACGGGAGGCAGCAGUGGGGAAUAUUGCGCAAUGGGCGAAAGCCUGACGCAGCAACGCCGCGUGUGGGAUGACGGCCUUCGGGUUGUAAACCGCUUUCAGCAGGGAAGAAGCCGCAAGGUGACGGUACCUGCAGAAGAAGCACCGGCUAACUACGUGCCAGCCGCCGCCGUAA